UACGGGGGGGGCAAGCGUUGUUCGGAAUUACUGGGCGUAAAGGGCUCGUAGGCGGCCACCUAAGUCGGAUGUGAAAUCCCCAGGCUCAACCUGGGAACUGCAUCCGAUACUGGAUGGCUUGAAUUCGGGAGAGGGAUGCAGAAUUCCAGGUGUAGCGGUGAAAUGCGUAGAUAUCUGGAGGAAUACCGGUGGCGAAGGCGGCAUCCUGGACCGACAUUGACGCUGAUGAGCGAAAGCUAGGGGAGCAAACGGG
This 253-nucleotide ribosomal RNA is filed under the name uncultured bacterium. Its description in RNAcentral is "partial 16S ribosomal RNA". It matches the Rfam family "Bacterial small subunit ribosomal RNA", at positions 524 to 776 of the family's 1533-position model. The record is from RNAcentral.